ACACCUCAACUUCUCAUGGUUUGCCAUGAUGAGCUUGGACUUUGGGGGUCUUGCUGGCCUAUGGUUGGCUCCUCUCAAAUGGAUCAGCUUUGCCAGUGUUUGGUGGCACCACAGGUGUGAUAAAUAUCUACGCUUGCGGUUUUCCACCAUGUAACCUUCAGCAAUGAAGGUUCGCUGGAGCUCACAAAUGUCUCUCCCCAGCGAGGACAGCUUUUUGAAC
Molecule: unclassified non-coding RNA, 220 nt
Filed under: uncultured Tomentella
Lineage: Eukaryota; Fungi; Basidiomycota; Agaricomycetes; Thelephorales; Thelephoraceae
Description: sequence contains ITS2
Source: RNAcentral